GAUGAAGAACGUAGCGAAAUGCGAUACUUGGUGUGAAUUGCAGAAUCCCGUGAACCAUCGAGUCUUUGAACGCAAGUUGCGCCCGAAGCCAUUAGGCCGAGGGCACGCCUGCCUGGGCGUCACACGUCGUUGCCCCCCCAUCUACUCCUUCGGGAUUGCGGGGGGCGGAUGAUGGCCUCCCGUGCGCCUCGCCGCGCGGUUGGCAUAAAUGCCAAGUCCUCGGCGACGCACGCCACGACAAUCGGUGGUUGCGAAACCUCGGUUGUCCGUCGUGUGCGGUCGUCGCGCAUCGAGGGCUCGAAAAAAUUGCCGGGUUCCGGCUCGGCUUUCAACGCGACCCCAGGUCAGGCGGGGUUACCCGCUGAAUUUAAGCAUAUCAAUAAGCGGAGGA
RNAcentral lists this unclassified non-coding RNA (391 nucleotides) under soil metagenome. RNAcentral's name for it is "partial contains 5.8S ribosomal RNA, internal transcribed spacer 2, and large subunit ribosomal RNA". The stretch from base 1 to 122 matches the Rfam family "5.8S ribosomal RNA", at positions 35 to 154 of the family's 154-position model. The record is from RNAcentral.